Molecule: ribosomal RNA, 417 nt
Filed under: uncultured bacterium
Lineage: Bacteria
Description: partial 16S rRNA
Source: RNAcentral
AAAUUAAGCUUCGUUGCGCGUCUUGGAAUGGUCGGGAACUGUAGGGCCAGCGCCUAAUGUCUCUACAAAAGGAAGUCAAGCCGACCUGGCCUCUGUCCACGACGUACCGACAGCAGUCGAGCACAGCACUCUACAACCCAAUUCAGGGCGUUGCUCGCGUUGGGAGCGGGAAUCAACGGUCGUAAGUCAACCCGUGAGAUUCCCCUGACGGCCACUAUUCGGCUCUCCUUCCACCCCUACUGCAGUUCAGGAGUACCGGGAAUGCCCGACCCGAUGUGUGCACGAUGUUACCACCACUGUCACCCGUCGCUCGUGCGCUCACACUCGAUUAGAGGUUUUCGGUAGAGUCAAGCCUAACGUGAGACGUUGAGCUCACGUACUUCAACCUUAGCGAUCAUUAGCGCCUAGUCGUACGGC